Molecule: ribosomal RNA, 503 nt
Filed under: uncultured bacterium
Lineage: Bacteria
Description: partial 16S ribosomal RNA
Rfam family: Bacterial small subunit ribosomal RNA
Source: RNAcentral
AUUGAACGCUGGCGGCAGGCUUAACACAUGCAAGUCGAGCGGAGUGAUGGUGCUUGCACUAUCACUUAGCGGCGGACGGGUGAGUAAUGCUUAGGAAUCUGCCUAUUAGUGGGGGACAACAUCUCGAAAGGGAUGCUAAUACCGCAUACGUCCUACGGGAGAAAGCAGGGGAUCACUUGUGACCUUGCGCUAAUAGAUGAGCCUAAGUCGGAUUAGCUAGUUGGUGGGGUAAAGGCCUACCAAGGCGACGAUCUGUAGCGGGUCUGAGAGGAUGAUCCGCCACACUGGGACUGAGACACGGCCCAGACUCCUACGGGAGGCAGCAGUGGGGAAUAUUGGACAAUGGGGGGAACCCUGAUCCAGCCAUGCCGCGUGUGUGAAGAAAGCCUUAUGGUUGUAAAGCACUUUAAGCGAGGAGGAGGCUCUUUUGGUUAAUACCCAGAAUGAGUGGACGUUACUCGCAGAAUAAGCACCGGCUAACUCUGUGCCAGCCGCCGCGGUAA